Molecule: ribosomal RNA, 804 nt
Filed under: uncultured crenarchaeote
Lineage: Archaea; Thermoproteati; Thermoproteota
Description: bacterial SSU rRNA
Rfam family: Archaeal small subunit ribosomal RNA
Source: RNAcentral
UGCGAGUCAUUGUAGUAAUACAAGGCAGACGGCUCAGUAACGCGUAGUCAACCUACCCUAUGGACGGGAAUAACCUCGGGAAACUGAGUAUAAUGCCCGAUAGAACACUAUACCUGGAAUGGUUUGUGUUCCAAAUGAAUGUCGCCGUAGGAUGGGACUGCGGCCUAUCAGUUUGUUGGUGAGGUAAUGGCCCACCAAGACUAUUACAGGUACGGGCUCUGAGAGGAGUAGCCCGGAGAUGGGUACUGAGACACGGACCCAGGCCCUAUGGGGCGCAGCAGGCGAGAAAACUUUGCAAUGUGCGAAAGCACGACAAGGUUAAUCCGAGUGGUUUGUGCUAAACGAACCUUUUGACAGUCCUAGAAACACUGUUGAAUAAGGGGUGGGCAAGUUCUGGUGUCAGCCGCCGCGGUAAAACCAGCACCUCAAGUGGUCAGGAUGAUUAUUGGGCCUAAAGCAUCCGUAGCCGGCUCUGUAAGUUUUCGGUUAAAUCUGUACGCUCAACGUACAGGCUGCCGGGAAUACUGCAGAGCUAGGGAGUGGGAGAGGUAGACGGUACUCGGUAGGAAGGGGUAGAAUCCUUUGAUCUAUUGAUGACCACCUGUGGCGAAGGCGGUCUACCAGAACACGUCCGACGGUGAGGGAUGAAAGCUGGGGGAGCAAACCGGAUUAGAUACCCGGGUAGUCCCAGCUGUAAACUAUGCAAACUCAGUGAUGCAUUGGCUUGUGGCCAAUGCAGUGCUGCAGGGAAGCCGUUAAGUUUGCCGCCUGGGAAGUACGUACGCAAGUAUGAAACUUAAAGGA